GAUGAACGCUGGCGGCGUGCUUAACACAUGCAAGUCGAACGAGAAGUGAAGACGGAAACCUUCGGGCGGAAGGCUUUAUUUCGAGUGGCGGACGGGUGAGUAACGCGUGGGUAACCUGCCUCAUACAGGGGGAUAACAGUUGGAAACGACUGUUAAUACCGCAUAAGACCACAGCACCGCAUGGUGCGGGGGUAAAAACUCCGGUGGUAUGAGAUGGACCCGCGUUCGAUUAGCCAGUUGGCGGGGUAACGGCCCACCAAAGCGACGAUCGAUAGCCGAUCUGAGAGGAUGACCGGCCACAUUGGGACUGAGACACGGCCCAAACUCCUACGGGAGGCAGCAGUGGGGAAUAGUGCACAAUGGGGGAAACCCUGAUGCAGCGACGCCGCGUGAGUGAAGAAGUAUUUCGGUAUGUAAAGCUCUAUCAGCAGGGAAGAAAAUGACGGUACCUGAGUAAGAAGCCCCGGCUAACUACG
Molecule: ribosomal RNA, 476 nt
Filed under: uncultured bacterium
Lineage: Bacteria
Description: partial 16S ribosomal RNA
Rfam family: Bacterial small subunit ribosomal RNA
Source: RNAcentral